UACGUAGGGGGCAAGCGUUGUCCGGAUUUAUUGGGCGUAAAAGGCUUGUAGGUGGCCACGCCAAGUCGGAUGUGAAAUCUCCCGGCUCAACUGGGAGGGGUCAUUCGAUACUGGCGGGCUCGAGGCCGGUAGGGGGAAGUGGAAUUCCCGGUGUAGUGGUGGAAUGCGUAGAUAUCGGGAGGAACACCAGUGGCGAAGGCGGCUUCCUGGACCGGUUCUGACACUGAGGAGCGAAAGCGUGGGGAGCGAACAGG
RNAcentral lists this ribosomal RNA (254 nucleotides) under uncultured bacterium. Its description in RNAcentral is "partial 16S ribosomal RNA". It matches the Rfam family "Bacterial small subunit ribosomal RNA", at positions 524 to 776 of the family's 1533-position model. The record is from RNAcentral.